Oxyura jamaicensis (ruddy duck) is the source of this 880-nucleotide long non-coding RNA. RefSeq lists it as uncharacterized. The record is from RefSeq and is a predicted model, not a curated record. The transcript is spliced from 2 exons. NCBI's taxonomy places the organism in Eukaryota, Metazoa, Chordata, Aves, Anseriformes, Anatidae.
GGAGAGCAGUAAAUGUUUUCUAAAAUUUGGAACCUUGACUAUAAGACUCCAUGAUCUUGUGAACCCUCACUCAGAAGUCUCUUUGGCACAAGUUCCCUGGGUUUUCAUCAUCUUCCCAAACAUGUCCUGAAGGCUGACAAUGGCAGAGUUUUACAACAACAGAAACACAAGACCAGCAGCCACGGCCUCCUAAAAAAAAAAAAAAAAAAAAAAAAAAAAAAAAAAAAAAAAAACUGUUAAACCCAGAUGAAAUUACUCAUUCCUGAGAAAGGAGUGAGACACCGAUCCUACAAAACAGCAUGAGAACACACAAUACAAGCUGUAUCCUAAUGCACAUGCACAAGGGGGAGGCAUUUACUAAAUUUUAAGUGCUUGAAUUAGGAACCUUAAUAAUACUCCUUCAACAAGGCUUUGGGUGCAACGUACUAGGGGUUUUGCAUGCCUCUUGAACAGUGCCACCUCAUCUCUAGUUGCUGUUUACCCUCAGAGCUCUGAUGUUGAGGGUAGCUAAGUGGAUUAAAAUAGCAAAACUUGCUGUUGCAUGCAAACGAGCCCUUAUUUAUGGAAGCUUUCGUGUACAACCACAGCUAAGUAAGCCUUCUUCAUCCAGCUUCUGGUGUUGCCAUGCAUGGUAUUUCAUAUGGCACAGAUAUCAAAGGCACCACCAUAAGCUCCUGGCCUCAGUUUUGCAAAAAAAAUGAAGGGUAUCAGACCCUUCUGAGCAAAUUCAGAAUACUUUAAAUUACAUAAUAGGAGAGAAUUCAUCAUAGCCCUUGAUAUUUAAGGGUUACUAACCAACUGAUACUCUCACAAUUUCCUCUGGUACCAUUUGGAAAAUUUGAAGUACAUAGAAAAAAAAAAUAAAGCAAAGCACAUGUGA